This 91-nucleotide non-coding RNA is filed under the name Bacillus testis. RNAcentral describes it as "Purine riboswitch". It matches the Rfam family "Purine riboswitch aptamer", at positions 5 to 93 of the family's 102-position model. Rfam says of the family: Riboswitches are metabolite binding domains within certain messenger RNAs that serve as precision sensors for their corresponding targets. Allosteric rearrangement of mRNA structure is mediated by ligand binding, and this results in modulation of gene expression. Lineage: Bacteria; Bacillati; Bacillota; Bacilli; Caryophanales; Bacillaceae. The record is from RNAcentral.
CAAUGAAAUAGAUAUACUCGUAUAAUUUUGGAGAUAUGGUCCAAAAGUUUCUACAAACUACCAAUGCAAUAGUUCGGCUACGAGAAUAGUA